UAGGGAAUCUUCCACAAUGGACGAAAGUCUGAUGGAGCAACGCCGCGUGAGUGAAGAAGGUUUUCGGAUCGUAAAGCUCUGUUGUUGGUGAAGAAGGAUAGAGGCAGUAACUGGUCUUUAUUUGACGGUAAUCAACCAGAAAGUCACGGCUAACUACGUGCCAGCAGCCGCGGUAAUACGUAGGUGGCAAGCGUUGUCCGGAUUUAUUGGGCGUAAAGCGAGCGCAGGCGGAAUGAUAAGUCUGAUGUGAAAGCCCACGGCUCAACCGUGGAACUGCAUCGGAAACUGUCAUUCUUGAGUGCAGAAGAGGAGAGUGGAACUCCAUGUGUAGCGGUGGAAUGCGUAGAUAUAUGGAAGAACACCAGUGGCGAAGGCGGCUCUCUGGUCUGCAACUGACGCUGAGGCUCGAAAGCAUGGGUAGCGAACAGGAUUAGAUACCCUGGUAGUCCAUGCCGUAAACGAUGAGCGCUAGGUGUUGGGGACUUUCCGGUCCUCAGUGCCGCAGCAAACGCAUUAAGCGCUCCGCCUGGGAGUACGACCGCAAGGUUGAAAC
Molecule: ribosomal RNA, 553 nt
Filed under: uncultured bacterium
Lineage: Bacteria
Description: partial 16S ribosomal RNA
Rfam family: Bacterial small subunit ribosomal RNA
Source: RNAcentral